Molecule: long non-coding RNA, 23574 nt
Filed under: Fragaria vesca (wild strawberry)
Lineage: Eukaryota; Viridiplantae; Streptophyta; Magnoliopsida; Rosales; Rosaceae
Description: long non-coding RNA (FVES_LNC001670)
Source: RNAcentral
UCCGGCCGCCCCAGACCGCCGCACCGGUCCCAAUUGAUCGGUCUUCAACCCAGCAACCUUCUUGGACCGGUGACAGCUCCCCUAGCGCCGCCGUGAGGGAGAUAUCGAGCCCGAGAGGUCCGACUGUGUUAGGGAUCACGUCGCCGGAACUUCCUCCUCCGGCCACCAAUCCGGGCAAGCUUGGUACGGUUUUGUAGCCCUCCAACCCAGCAGCCUUGCCCUAAACGGACUCACUCCCUCUUGAGCUAGGUAAGAAGAAAUUUGAGGUGGAAGUUUUAUGACGUUUUUGAUGUUUUUAGUCGAUUACCCUAGAUAGGCUUGGAAUUGGUGUUUGUGCUAGUUAGGAAAGUUGUAGAGCUUGAUGAGAGGAUUAUUCUGUCAAAAUUUCAUAGGUUUUGGAGGUCGCCGGAAUUGGCCUCCGGCCGCCGCUGCCGGCGGAGCCGGCGCCGGCGCCGGCGCCGGUUAGGAGAUUUUUAGGGUUUUAAGUGUGGAAUAUUAAGAGGAGUAUAUUGAUGUGAUUUAUGGAAUUUUUGGAUGAGAUUUGAAUAGGUUUUUGAAUUUCCGAAAUUUGGUAUUUUUGGCGGUUAAUUAAUGUAGAAUCCGGUCGUAGGAUUUAAGUCGAAUUUUUGGAGAGGUUGUAUUUGCAACUGUUGAGUAUGAUAUUUAAGUUUGGAUCGUUCCGAUUUAAGAAUAUCGAAGUUAGGCAAUGAUGAGCGUAUUUAUGGCUCUCGGGUAAUUUUGCCUAUUUUGAUUAAAUAUCGGAUUAUUGGUUGGGAAAUUAAUAUUAUAUUUGGAACAGGACAUGAGGAGGCUCGAGCAGACGAGGCCCCAGAUCGACAGCUGGCUUAGGCCUAAUUUGUGAGUGGACGUUUAUUUUAAAUAAAUGCAUGCUAUAGUUCAUGGUUGAACAAUUAAUGUUGCGGAAUAUUUUAACGUCAUUUUAAUUUGACGAUUUUUAUUUUCUCUUGGAGAGCUACCGAAAAUGGGAUUUUCGGUGGAUAUUAAUAUGUAUUUAUGAGAGAGUAUGUAUAUAAAUGCUAGCUAGCCAUAUGUGUCUGUCCACCUUAAUGGCGUAGCAUAUAGCCGCAUUAUGGUGUGACGUGAACGUUGGACGUAAGCGUAGUAGCCCUAUUUGAGUGUUUAAUUCAUAUAGGGGGUAUGGACACAUAUUUAUACACCCGUCUGUCCACCUUGAUGGCGUAGUGUAGCACCGUAUUAAGGCGUGACGUGAGCGUUGGACGCGAGCGUAGUAGCCCUAUAUAGACCCAUGAAUUUAUAUAGGGAGUAUGGACGAGUGUAAAUACAUACAUAUAUUAUAGAGUAUGAGAGGCUCGAUAUUUUAUGGGAUAAAAGUUUUAUCGCUUGCGGCAUGCAUUCGAUUUUUCCUUAGAAAUUAAUUUGGGGAAACAUAAAUAUUUUAUUUAUUAUUUUAUUUUAUUUUUGUCCACUCACUCUAACGUUAUUAAAUGUUUUCCCCUGGGCCCUUCGUUUUAAAUUGCCCAGUCUGCAGAGUUCGGGUUGGAUCUAGUAGGAGACGAGGCAUAGUCACCCGCAUUUCUACCAGUUUUCGUCAGUAGGUUACCUGUUCAACCUACUCGUGUCUUCUUACUUCUGCUUGUGUUUAGUAGCUCUGAAUACUUUGAGAUUAUUGUAUAUUGAGUGUUGAAUUAAGAGUGUAAUAUGAAAUUUUUGAGUUAGGGUUGUCCAUCUGCAAGGGAGAUUUUCUUAAUCUUUUCAGUAAAUUUUCCUUGGAGGUGGUCCCCGCACGACUUACUCCGGGUUUCAGGGUGAAAUUCGGGGUGGGUCGUGUCACCACUACUUUCCGGAAACAAUCAAUCAUAGCUCUAUGUGCCUCUAAAAAGUCCAUACCCAAGAUUACAUCAAACUCCACAAUAUCUAAUGGAAUCAAGUUAACUUCGAAACUAAGACCCUCCACCAACACUUCACAACCUCUAAAUACCCAAUCUAUCUUCAUCACUUCACCGGAGGGCAAGGAAACCUGCCACUCGCCUAGGAGUGGCGAGGAUGGCACAUUGGCGAGAAAUGAAAAUCUACUAGACAUAAAAGAAUGCGUCGCUCCAAGGUCUAUCAAUAUAAAAGCAGGAUGACAGAAAAUUAACAACGUAUCAAUGAUGACAUCCGGGGAGGUACGUCCCUCAUGCUGCGUCAUAGCAUGGAGCUUAGCAUGCGUAGUGGUAGGGCGACCGCUCUGUCCUCUGCCCUACUGAAAGUUGCCUCUCGCUGGAGCCAUGACCAGCUGAUGUCUGACCCAUGGCCUGAGUAGGAGCAUAUAUGACUCCCUGAGUCAAAAGAGGACAAUCCCUCUUGAAGUGAUCCAGCUGACCACAGAGAAAACAUCCCCCUGGCUGAAACUGACUCUGUCUAGACUGAAAAGACUGUCCACCAGAAGUCCCACUCCUACUGCUCGAUCCACUCCUGAAUUGCCCAAGCUGACGCCCUAUAAAAUUCUUGAAGGAUCUACUACCAUGCCUCUUGAAUUUCCCUCUAAAACCAGAGCCAGAACUCGAACUGCUACCAUGUCCACUGCCAGUAGAUGAUCCAGAACUAGAGGUGGACGCCAAUUUCUUUGAUGAACCCUGGCUAGGACCAGCACAAUCAUGAAGACGGCCAGCUGCUAACUCUUGUGCCUCUAUAUUAAUAGCAAAAGUCACUGCCUGGUGAAAUGACUGAUAUGGCACAGCUGUCAUCCUGUUUGCAUAAAUACCACCAAGGCCCUUGGUGAACUAAUAAAUCUUCUCCUGCUCUGUCUUCACCAAAUCAAGCACAUAAUAUGACAACUCCCGAAAUCGCUGCUCAAAAGCCAUCACCGUCAUAUCAUAACUCUUCUUCAGGUUCAGGAACUCCUCUCUCAUUUGGUUGACAUGAGCAUGACUAAUAUAUCGCUCUCUAAAAAGAGCUGUAAACUGAUCUUAGGUCAUAUGAUUAGCAGCAUCCAAGAGCUCAACAGCAUGGCUAAACGCUCUAGCUCCAUUCUUGUAUGCCCUAUCAUAAUUUAUCUCAGGGACCAUGCUAGUGCUAAAACACUGAAAGAACUCCUCCAUGGCAUUUAUAAAACCACUCUGUGCUUCCUCAUCAUCCCCCCCUAGAUGAUUCUGCCUAGGAGCUCGGCGAGGAGGCAUGUUAAUUACCUGAGAAUAAAAUAUUUAGCACAAGAAACAAGGAAAAGACAACUACCCACAUACUUAAUAAACACUUAGCAUCCAAGCAUAAAAUGCUAAUGGAUCCGCCGCGGUCGGACCAUCACUCUAAUGACACUAAGUGUUACUAAGCAUAUAUGGUAGUGAUAAGGAAAGACAGGAAUCGGAUAACCUAAUGCUCUGAUACCAAUUGUCAGGACCUACCCUGGAUUUCCCCUUGAAAUCCGGAAUAAACCCUCUGGGACCCACCUCAAGGGAAAUUCUACCAAAAUUUUGGCAUAACCUCUCUUGAAAAUGAGUAACCCUACCUGAAAGAAAAUCACUAAAAACCCAAACACUUCUAAAACAAUUUAAUCCACAUCUCCUGGGACCACCCGCUCCCCAAAUAAACAUCCACCGCCUCAACAAAAGUAAUAAUUCAAAAUAAUUUCAUGAAUUUAAGUUCUCAUACAAACAAACCAAAUGAAUCUUUUUUAUCACUUCUACGUGGAGUCAUAAGCUCUUAACACACAUCAACAUAAAUUCAUUUAAGAUAUCCCAUGGUUAUCAGAGAAACUACUAGAAAACGAAAAAAAUACACAAAUAGGUUAAACAGGAAACCUAUGAAUAAAAACUGGAAGUGGUGGAAAAUAUGACUCGCCUCCUACACUCGCCGAACUGAACUCUGCAGAUUGGGCAUUUAAAAACAAAAGGCCCAGGGGAGAAGCAUUUAAAAUGUUAGCGUGAGUGAACAAAAAUAAAUAAUAAAAUAUUGACUUAUUGAUAGAGCUUUAAAAUCAAAAUUAAUGUUUUUCCCAUAUUUUCCAUUUAGAAAAAUAUUUAUGCAUGCCACUCUUGGAAAUUUUCCCGAAAAUAUAUAUAGACAAAAGAAUGAACCAAUCCCAUUGGUUCCCAAUAAAUCAAUAAAAAUGGGGAAGAAGUUUCACCAUAACGAUGAGCCUCCCAAGCUAUAAUAGCGUCCCACGCUAAGCGCUCUACUCACCUAUGGUGAGUAGUCGCUAGUAAUGGUUAGCUAAUAUAUAAAUAUAAAUACCGAUCAGUUGCCUCCCAGGUUAUAAUAGCGUCUCACGCUACGCGCUCUACUCACAUAUGAAGAAGACCGCUAAUAAGGCUAUUAUAACGAUUCACAUAUGAUGAGGACUGCUAAUACGGUUUGAUAACAAUAAUCAAUAUAAAUCAACCCUUUUAUGGUGAAGUAAAAUAAUAAAUGAUCAAGAAUAUCACUUUCCCAAAAAUAAUAUAAAAUCCAUUGAGCUUAGUUGUAAUGAUCUCAUUUUUUUUAAAUAGGUUAUUUAAUUUAAUUGUUUUUAUUUCUUUUUCUUGGUGUGUUUUAUUAUAUGAUUAAGAAUUGAUUCUUUUUAGUAUGGUAAAUAUCUGAUUGGGGUUAUUAGCUUAUGUUAUUAAACAUGUGUUAACUUUUCUUAAAUAUCUAGCUAUACUAGAAGCAUCUAACGCCUAAUCUAGAGUAAUACACGUUGCCUAAUCCUCUCCCUCCAGGUGUCCCUGAUCGAUUUCUCUCGAACAUACCAGUCAGUCUUUCUUCCUCUUCUCUUUUCUGUUCUUCCACUUUCCCGCAAAGAAAUUGGUGUUCCUUCUCACUCAAAGGCUGUGUUUGAACAAUAGCUCUCAAAGGAUUUCUUUGAAUCCCCUUGUCUAAGAGUCUCUGAAGUUCUCCAUUUGAAACAGGCACAGCUUUAUGGCUGCAAGUGAGUUUUCUGAUCUUCCAUAAUUUUCAUCUCUGAUUAGACUACUUCCAAAUGGAGGGGAGUAUGAUUCGUAUCUAAAAAUUCCUUGAUAGGUGGCUGGAUUGCGAUAGUAGAUUGGGUGUUUGAUUUUGAGCUCGGAUUGCUUUGACGAUGAUGUAAAUUGGAUUUGCUGUCGUUUGAAUUGGGUGAUGGUAUUUGGAGUUUGCUUGAGUUAUCUCUUGAAGUUUUGGCUGCUGAUUGCUUGGACUUGAGGUAGGGAAAACAAACUUUUUUUUAUAGCUUUGAUUCUUAUUUAAUAUGUGAUUGGGGUGAUUGUAUUGGAAUAUCUUCUCUGCUACUUUUCUGUGAGUGCAAAUUGAUAAGCAUGGUACCCUUGUCUUAUGUUGAAUAGAAAUUUUAUUGAGUUUCGAUGCUUCUUUGAUUCAGGGUAGUAAGUACCCUUUGGUUUGUGUCUAAUCUUGAUACGAUCGCUUUGAGUAUCUUUGUUGGAAUUCAUUGAAGAGCAGACAAUGCUCUUUCCCUAUCCAAAUCCUUCUGAUCAUGUGGACUGCUGGUUUCUAUCUGAUUAUAUCAUCUAAAGUGGUUCUAUUGAAUACCCAGUCUAUGUCUAUUUGUCUUACUCUACUGCUUUGGGACUUUGAGUGCAGCUGUAUAUUGUUGUUUCUGAAUUAUUUCUGAUCCUAGUCUUGUUGUUCGUUGGUGUUCAUAACUCAGUUUGUACCAAGCUCCUCAUUUAUACAUAAAGCUGAUUCUUGUUUUGUUCUCUACAAGUUAAAAGGAAGCUUUUUAAAUAUGACUUUACUUGUAACAAAAGUUCAAUUCCUUGCUUAUUCUUUUGGUCCUGAGUUCCUUUCGAAAAGGGUUAAAUGAUAUAACUGGGCUUCUCUCUUGCAACUAUUCUACUUCUAUGUUUUACAUCAUGGUGUCAAUUAUCUUAUUUGAACUGAUUUUUGAAAAUCGAUCAAGUACUACUCUUUCUCAUAAACAUCUGAUUUCAACCGAGACUUGAUACUUGUGCUCUAUCUAUCUAUAUGCUUGGUCUUUUAACUCUGAAAUGAUAUCCACUUUCGGGUUAUAGUAUGUUCAAACUUUCUUAUCAAGUUGGUGUUCUAUAAAUAUCCUUUUUGCCAUAUUUUUGUCCAAAUUAAUUCAGCCCUUAUUUUAAUUGACAAAGCAUGUUGAAAUACUCUCAUACUCAUGAUCUGACUAAUAUGAAUAUGUAUAUCUCAUUAAAGUUUUGUCUAUACCAGAUGAUCUUCUACCUAUCAUAAAAUUUACUGAUUAUAAAGGGUUUGCUCUUCUAGAUCCUACUUACAAAAUAUAUGUGUUCAUGCAUUUUGGAAAGGUUAGUUUUCUAAAGUAUUUCCUGUCUCGUUCUAGCCAAAUGGUGAAUUAAAUUGAUUAUUCUUGUGAUUUCAUAACAGCAAAGUUCCAGUGUUUUAUAUAGCCAAUUUAUCGACUUACUCUUGUUUUCAGUGUAUAAUCCUCAAACCUAGAAGAGCUGUUAUAUGUUGCAUAUUUUCUACACUUUACCUUUUUAAAGUACAGUAAAUGUUAUUGCGCCCUUUCAAUACCAAAAGGCUAUUUUGUUUCCAGUAUAUAUACUUUCAAUCCAUAUGGAACUAUGAAUUCCAAAUCCAUUUGUAUAUGGCUGUACUUGAGUUCAAUUCAUAAUACUUGAUCCUUGGUUUUGGUACAAAAUCGUAUAUUAGUAUCUGCGUCAUGUUCCUUGGUAUUAAAAAUCUGGUCUCCUAUAUGCAGUUUCAUACGAAGUCCUCAAAGCAGUUCCAUUUAUGAAAAUACAAAGUCCCAUCUCUGAUUAGUCUUAUAUGGGUUUACCUCUUUCAAAAUGUGCUCUUGUUGAUAAUAAACUAAGCUGCUGCUAUAACUUGCAAUCUUAUCGGUGUUUCAUUGAUUUGAUCUUCAUUAACGGAUUUGGUCUGUUGAAAUCCUGAUUUUUGAAAGGAAAGAGAUUUGAAUUACAUUAUCAUUUUCUGGGCAGAUUCUUCCUUCAUUCUGUAAAGGGAUUUCAAGUUUCUUUCUGAUAUCCCUGAUUGUUCAGCUUCGUUUGGAAAGCGAUUGGAUUUCAAAUGUUUUUAUUUGGUUAGGCCUGGUUUAAAGUUAAGUAGGGAUUGGGCCUCCCUAGGGUGAAUAGACCCAAAACUUGAUCAGGAUACUGCAUGUGCGGGGUUUGCUCGGUUGUAUAGCUGGGCGGUGGGCUCUAACCGGAAUUAUAAGGAUCUGCCAAUUUCGAUUGAAAGAAAAGUUUCAAAUGAAGUUGCUGGAAGUUGUGGUUUGAUAGAGAAAACAGUUUUCUGGGAUUUGAACGUAUUAUAUGAAGCUGAAAAGCUUUAAGGUUUUUACUAUACUUUUAUUACUUUCAGAAGUACCUGUUAUCUGUUAAAUCUUCUGUCAAAUGACCAUUGAUAUCAGACUUUUACAUGUUGAUCCAUAUGAUACUGAGCACUCUUUCAGUUGGAAAACUUUGAUAUCUUUAACUUCACUGAUAUAUUUGAGGAGUGUUUUCCUGGUCAUUCAUUAUCAUUUUUGAAUCAAUGUUUCUUUUCUAAAAAUGCAGCAGUAACUAUUUGAGUCUUAGCCUCAAUUAUGUAGUCAUGUUCAUUCAAUUCAUGAGCAUUGAAAGCAUAUCUCCAAUCUCUCAUGUUCAGUCGCAUAUUGGAUUUGAGUCUUAGUUAUAAAGAUUAUUUUGUUGUACCUACUGAGCUUGUGAAGCUCAUUCCCUAUAUUCUUGUGUUGUUUUCAGGUAGUCUAAAAGUGGACAAGUUAAUGAUAUUGAUGUCUUCUUGAGCUGAAGUUUUGGUAUUAUUCUGUGAUGGUGUUAGCUGUGCUUCACUUGUGUCCGAGUCCUUGUGUUCUCUUGGACUGGAUUGCGUGGUUACAUUUAAAUUGAGUAUGUUGUUGAUGUUAUCUUGUUUUAAAGGUUAGAACUUCUAUGUAGCUUUGAGGCAGCAAUCUGGUAAAGGUUUUGGUACCAAUGUGAUGGAUGGUUUUGAAGUGUAAAUAUUGUAUUGAACAAACUGUAGGGUUGUAUCUAAACUAUUUCUUAUCAGAUUUUAAUGUUUCUUUUGUAUCUUUAAAAGCAAAGGAACAAAGGAGUUACGUGUGUUUAAAGUGAUGCAAAACCAUUUGUUUACUGCCCUGUUUUUAAAAGGUUUGGUUAUGGAAGCACACAAAUGUUCUUGAGAUGUUUAUUUGGAAACUUCAGACUAGUUGGUUUUAACAAAUGGCUGCAUCUUCCAAGUACAACCGACUACUUUUCAGUGUUACAUAUUCCUACAAAUACAUGAGAAGUUUAACUUCCAAGUUCAAUCUAGUUACUUGUUACUAAAUGCUAACAAAAUGAUUUUCCCUUUAAACCUAGCUCACCAAAGUUUUAGUGCCUUUGUUUAAGCAAUCGGGAUCAUAGACAGACGUCCGCAAACCCGUAAAAGUGCGGACAUCCCUGCUUUUGCAGCAAUCAACCGCCGACGACAUCUCUUCUCUUGCCGGAUGGACACCAGAGGCAUCCCGGACCUGUUUAACUUGAAGAUGAAGGCCAUGGAGAUCAGAGUUGAAGGUCUGGGUAGCAACCUCCACCCAAAAUUUCAAACAAUAUCAAUCUCGGCUGCAAACUGAUAUUCGGCGAGUCCGCUGGCAAGAGGAAGCUCACAAUCGACGUCUGGUGUCUAUCUGGGAAGAGAAGGGCUGUCUCCGGCACUUGAUCGCUGCAAAAGCAGGGACGUCCGCAUUUUUACGGGUUUGCGGACGUCCUCUUCUGAUCCUGUCCCUUGUUUAAGUUCUUGCUAAUGUUGCAUUUUAACUUUUAAAAAAAAUAAUAAUAAUUUCUCAGGUUUUCUAUUUUCAACUUAAUCCAUCACAUUUAGUCAUACCUUAAGGUCAGGGUGUGACAUUAGUACAGUCCCUAACCGUACCUAGAAAUAUUGUGUAAUAAUAUAAAUCACUUGACAUGACAUGUCCCACAUGUCAAAUAAAAUGCUCAAGAGAGUUCCCGAAAAAUAAAUGAAACUCAUUAAUCAAAGAAAAUAAUAAAUCUCUAAAAUGCCUUUGAAAAUUAAAUAAACUUUAAUGCAUGCAUGGCAUUCAAAUCAAAGCUCCACUCACAGUGCUCGGCUAUGCUUGCCGACGACCUGAGGCUUCCUCCAAAUGAUCCUCCUCACGUCCUGAACAAUAAAUAAUUAUUAAGCCUCCGGACUAGGAUAAUGCUUUAAUAAAAUUCUGAAAUAAAAGGAAGUCUAUAAUUUCAUAUUUCUUGCCCAACUUCUCCACUUUUAAUCUAAUAAGGCUCACACUACUCCACACUUACCGAUAGCCAAAAAUUAACCUUUUUGAAGUUUAAAUCUUGUUAAACGAACUGUCGGAUUUCCAUUCGAAUAACCGUCUAAAUCCUUAAUCAUUGAUAAAUCCCAAACCUUAUCAAAACUCCUCCAAAAAUUUCAAACUAUACUUCAUUAAACUCCUCUCAUUAUAACAAACCCGAAAACAUGCAAAACAACCUCUAAGUAGCAGCGCCGCCGCCUGCUCUGCCGGUAGCCGAACUCCGGCGAUGACCAUUGCCUCUCAAAUUUUAACAGAGUAAUUCUCUUAUUAUGCACAACAACUUUCAUAACUAGCACCUAGUCUAAUUCUAAGGCUAACUAGGGUAAUCGAACCAAAACAUCAAUAAAUCCCUAGAACUUCAAUUAAACAUCUCUCCUUACCAAGAUCGAAUUAAGUCGAUUCCUUUUGAGGGAUCACUAACCUUGAUGAGAGCUACAAUAUGAGCUAAAAAUCACGAGCUAUGGUGACCGGAGGAGAGAACUCCAGCGAAGGGGCAGCCGGCGUUUCUGGCGGGUUUUCUCCUAUCUGGCAGCGCUACCGGCUCGGACACUAGGCCGGGAAGAGAGAGGAGACAGCGGGGGUCUGAACUGGAGUGGAGAGAUGGUUGGUGGCUGGCCGGACGGCGGCAGCUGGUGGCAGAAAGUCCCAGCGAUAAAGAGAGCUCGGGGAAGAGUUCGGGAGAAAGAGAGAGGGAAGAGGGAGAGAGAGAGAGAGUGGAGGGGGUGUUGGGCUGCUCCACACCCGGUCCAACACUUAAACCCAAAAUUAAAGCCUAUCAAAAUUACCCAUUUUUUACCAACUCAAAAUUUACCCUUUUAAUUGAUAACUUUUUCAUGCUAACUCCGAUUUUAAUGCAUAGCAUGUCUACGAACUCGUAUUAACGUCCUCUACGAUUUUCAUGAAGAAAGUUUUCCCAAAUUCCAAACGGAAGAAAAAGUCAACUCUUAGAGUCUUAAAUAGUAAACGGUUACUUAAAACGGUAAAAGACCAAAAUAAUACCAAAGUAAAUAACCGUAAAAAUAACUUAAGAACAGGGGUGUGACAUUAUUAUUGCUAAUUGUGAAGUUGUCCUUGAAAGAAAAUGAUUUUGUUUUUAAAUAUAAAUGAGCUUUAUCGUCAACGGCUCAUGAUAACUCAUGGUAAGUGAAAACAAGUUUCUUGUUAAUAAUAUAAUCUUUCAAAAGGACUUCCGAUCAUGAGUCAUAAUUACAGUUGGUAUGUCAGGACCCACCCCGAAUUUCACCCUGAAACCCGAGGUAAGUCUUGUGGGGUCCACCUCUAAGGAAAAUUUACCGAAAAUUUGGUAUAAUCUACCUUGAAAAUGGACAACCGUUACCUGAAAAAUCCUAGAUAACACUUCUAUUAUUAUUCAUCCAUCCUCAACUCUUGAAGCCUUCCUGCUCCCUAAGUUCAUCAUAUCUCUCAAUAUAGCAAUUUCUCAUCUAAAAUAAUUCCACAACCAACAACAGACAAUUAAUAAUUUACUGCUAGACUUUCAAAGCAUAUCUAAAGAUGAACGAAAAACAAUGGAUAAAGAAUGAGUGGAAGUAGCCUCUAACUAUGCCUCGACUCCAUGUAUGCUCGACCUCAAAUGAACUUAGCCUGCAAACCGGGCAUUUAAAACCAAAGGCCUAGGGGAAAGUAAUUUAAAAACGUUAAAGUGAGUGGACAAAAAUAAAUUAAAUAAUUUAACAAAACGUAAAUUAAAUACUUUCCCACAUUAAAUCUUUAAAACCCCAGUGCACGUAACUUUGAUAUAACAUUUAACAUUAAAACCAGGAUUCCAUAAAAGAAUAGACAAACCAGCCCCGCUGGUUAAUCAAAUACGGAUAUCUCAUAACUAGAGAUGAACCAGCCCCGCUGGUUAAUCAAUUAUAUAACUGAGAAAAAUAAAAUAAGGGGAAGAGUUAUCACCAUGUGGAAGGAGCCUCCAAGGCUCUAGUCGAUGCCUCCCAGGCUAUAAUAGCGUCUCACGCUAAGUGCUCAAAUCACAUAUGAUGAGGACCGCUAAUAAGGCUAGCUAGCAAUAAAUAAUAAAUAACAACCCUUACAUGGUGAAAUAAAAAUAUCAUAUAGAGUUCACAAGAUAAAUAUCCCAGCCCACUAGAAAGAGCUCACGGGAGAGGUGUCCCGGCCCACUAGAUCGAGCUCAUGAGAUAAGUAUCCCGGCCCACUCAACCAAGUAAUGCAACAAUACUCAAUGACGUGUCUCACAUGUCAAAAUACACUUGGAUCAAUGAUUGAAGAGUACCGAAAAUCCCAUUUUCGGUAACUUUUUACAAAUCUCCAUGUUGACAAAAUAUAAACGAUAAUUAUAAAGGAGAUAUUUAUAAUUUAAUUGUCGCAUGUAAUUCAUUCAAAAUAAAAGUCCACUCACAAAUUUAGGCAUAAGCCCGACGAUAUCCGAAUCGCCACACAAGCGAGGUUCCCUUAGUAACCUGGCACAAUAACCAUGCUUAGAACCAAACUUCAAUUCCAUAAAAUAAAUACUUAAAUAUAAACACUAAAACUCUUCCGCUUAACUCACUACCCUUACUAGGGUUAAGCUCACUGGAUUCCCACCAAACUCCACCACAACCUUAAUUCAUCAAUUCUAACAUUCUAGAAUAAAUACCAAGGAAAUCCAACGGCCGGAUUUUCAUUCUAACAACUGUCAAAAUUCUCAAUCUUUGAAAAAUCCCAAACCUAACCAAAACUCCUCAAAAUAUUCCAAACUUCACAUCAUUAAACUCCUCUCAUUAAAAAAAUCUCAAAAACAUGAAAAGCUACCCAUAAGGGGCAGCGCCGUCGCCUGCUCCGCCGGCAUCGGCGGCCGGAAGUCGAACUCCGGCGACCUCUAAUGCUUCCCAAAUUUUAACACAACACUCCUCUCAACCCGCACAACAACUUCCUUAACUACCACGAUUUCCAAUUCUAAGCCUAGCUAGGGUAAUAGAACCAAAAUAAUGAAAUAGCCCUAGAACUUCAAUUAUACAUUACUCCAUAACCAGAUCGAAUUGAACCGAUUCCUUUUGAGGGAUUACUAACCUUGAUGAGAGCUACAAGAUGAGCCAAGAUUUAUGAGCUAUGGUGACCGGAGGAGGGAGCUCCGGCGAGUUGACAGUCGGCGUCUCGGACGGAUUUUCUCUCGAUCGGCGACGUGGCAGGCUUGCUCUCCAACCUAGGAAGAAAGAGGGCACGACUGGGGUUCGAACGAGACCGGGCCGGCGGUCUAAGCUGGCCAGACGGCGGCGGAUGAGGGCAGGGAGUUUCCGGCAAGAGGAGAGCUUGGAGGGACUCGGGAAAGAAGAGAGAGAAAGAAAAUAAAGGGGUUGGGCUUUCUCCCACCCGGUCCAACCUUAAUACCCAACAAUAAAACCCCAUAAAAUUACCUUUUUACUAAAUAAAGUCUUCCCCUUUUUACUCGGUAACUUUUUCAUGCUAACUUCGAUUUUAAUGUAUAGCAUGUCCACGAACUUGUAUUAACGUCCACUACGACCUCCUUUCAAAAAUUGUUCCCAAAACAAUUUCCUACAAAAAGUCAACUCUAGGGUCCUUAAAUAGUAAACGGUUACUCAAAGCGGUGAAAGCCAAAGUAAUAUCAAAAGUAAAUAACCGUAAUUUAAUUUAAGAACCAGGAUGUGACAUGGUAGAUUAUUCUUGUUUUAAAUAUAUAUAUCCACGUCUGUAUGUGUGAAAGACACGUUAUGAUCAUGUGAUAUUGUGAUGUUGAAAUAUGGGUGUUGAUAGAUUAUUCUAGUGGGAAUAUCUAUGUUUGUUCAUAUAAAUAUAUCUAUGUAGAAGGAUAUAAUUUAUGAUGUGCUCUUUGUGUUGUUGAUGAUUAUAUUUUUAUAUCGUGAAUUGUUAUUUAAAUAGUCAAACCGGGUUCCAAGUCUUUAAUCGGGUGAUUGAUUACGAUUAUGAUGAUAUUAUUAUUUUGAGAUUUGAUAAGUGUUAUGAUGGGAGAGUAAUUGAAUGUGUGCCUUAGUGGUGAUUGUGUGAAUUAGAUUAGGAGCCUUCGUGGUGGACCGGGAACCAAGCCUUGGCCGGGUGAUUGGUUACGGUUAGUUUAGAGCUCUAGUCUGUCUGUUGGUACUUCAUGGGGGAUGACUAAGUGUUGACGAACUCAUAAGUAAGAGUAGAGAAAUGAUUGUGUGAUGUUCUUAUGUGUUGUCAUUUAAAUUCCUUGCUUUGAGUAUCUCCUGAACUGUGCUUAUCCGCAGGAGAUUCUUUUAUUUUAACUGUGUGAUUUUAAUGGAAUUCCUGAACUAUGCUUUUUGCAGGAUUCAUUUAUGAUUUUGAGUGAUUUUGAAUUGUCGUGGUGACAAGACCCGCCCCGAAAACACAUAGAAAAACAGGCAAGUCUUGCGGGAUCCACUCUUAAAAGAGAUUAUACCGAAAUUUCGGCAUAAUCUCCCUUAAAAAGGGACAACCCAACAUGCGAGAAAAGAACCAAGAACACUUCAACUAUAUCAAACAACCACAUCUCCUGGAGUCCUUCGCUCCCCACAACAAAAUCCAAGUCAUAACAGCACUUAACCAAUUCAAACCCAAUAUUCGACUACGAUAUUUAAACACAAACUCCAACCAAAGUUAAACUCCCUACUUGGGUCAUAACCCUUAAAAAUAACUCCAACUUAUUUUACAUAUCCCGAUGGUCAUCAUAGCACUACAAGAUUGAAAUAUAAUACAACACAUAGGUAACCUACGGUCAGCAAGGUGCAGCGGAAAACUAUGCCUCAACUCCUAGUGAAACCGAACAGGAGCUCUGCAAUCUGGGCAUUUGAAAACAAAGGGCCCAGGGAAGAGCAUUUAAAACGUUAGCGUGAGUGGACGAAGAUAAACUAAUUAAUAAGUAUCCAAGAGCAUAAAGAUACUAAAUCAAAUUUUUAUAUGCUUUUCCAUUUAUACAGAAUUCAAGAAUUUUCAUGCAUGCAAAUAUUAUAAACUCAACAAAAAUUCACACUAGCCCUGCUAGUCAUAAAACAAUAAGAAAAAAAAUAAAUAGAUUUCUCAUUCAAGAAACUUUCAAAAUAAUGGACUAGCCCCGCUAGUCAAAUUAACAACUCAAAUAGAAUAUCCUAUAUGGCCAUAUAAGUGAGUCUCCCAGACUCGGUUGUCUCCCAGGCAUUGUACUCCCAUACUCCCUGUAUCUUCACGUCGAGUGGACGGAUAGAGCAUAGGGCUUGCGUGAUGCCGCCGGCAACAUCACAUCACCACUAGGGUGGAAAGGGCUUGCGUGACCCCACUUGAAACGUGGGAGUCAUAUCACCUCGAGAGGUGGAACGACAUACUAGCAUUGACAUCAUAUAAUCCAACAAAUAUAGCAUAAGAAAGAAAUAAAUUAAAUUUAAUAACGUGUCCCACACGUUAAAAUGCGCAAAGUAAUAAUUAAGCCAAAUAACCCACAUAUUUCAAAUCUCCAAUCAUGCAUGCAUAUUUCAUUAAAAACAAAAUGUCCACUCACAAUAUAGACGGCUAUGCCUGACGUCGGUCAGAGCCCUCCUCACGUGGUGUCUCCUCUCGUCCUGUACAAAACGAGAUUUAAGAUCCGAGACAAAAAUACAAGAAUAUCAAAUUUAAUAAAAUAGGGCAACGCCAUCCUCCCUCAUUCUACACUCCAAAAACUAAGAAGAACUCCAACCCUUUUUACUAAUCUUCUCCAAUUUUUCCUCAACGUUCUAACACAUAAACAUAAAUAUGGAAAUUCCCAUGGAUGGCUCACCUCUACUUGUCACCAAAAUCAACUUAAAAAUUUCCCAAAUUCCUACCAACAUUUACCAAAAUUUUCAAUACCUCAUUACCAUUCAUUUCUCAUCCAUGGAGCCACAAAAACUAUCCCAAUUUCUAAACACUCUUCACCAAAAAUCACCUUACAAUACAACAACAUUUAUCUCUUCUAGAAACCAUUCAAAAUUACUCAAAACCACCACCAAAUCAGGCAGCAGUCACCGGCAGUGGCGGUCAACCGUCGGCAGUGGCGGUCAACCACCACCACCAAAUCAACUUCAACCAAAAUUAACAAGGCAUACAUCAAACUCUUCCUCUCAUCAAGCCUAACAGCAAUCAUGACUAACACAAACUCUAGAGCUCAAAGAUUAGGCCGGAAAACUCAUUAUAAACUCAAGAACUCAAGAGCUCCGAUUUGCUCUACAUUCCAAAUCGUUCUACCUCUUUUGGGUGGUUGAAAGACUAAUCAAAGAGCUACAAAACCCCCCAAAGAUACCUUGAAUCGGUGGCCGGAGAAGGGAGUUCUGGCAAGAGCAACCACGCGGCAGCAGCGGCGUCACCGCGCCUUAAUGCCGGCGAGUAAGGACCGGUCACCACCCCAGGCUGGACGAGCGGUGUCCCAGCUGCCAGACGAGACCCGUGCGGCGACCAAGCGUGGUCGGACGGCAGCGAUCGGUUGAGGAGAAGCCGGACUGUUCGGGGUUAGGGUCGGGCUCGGGGAGAGAGAAAGGGUGAGGGAUGUGUAUUUUUUGAUUUUUUACCUUAACCAAAAGGUAAGCUCCCUUAAAUGCCUAAGCCCAAAAAUGAGUACUAUUAUUAUUUAACUACCCUUCAUUUACGAACUCUUAUUCGGGUAACUAAAAAUCUAUGAACUCGACUAAACCACCUCUAUUAAGGAUAACAUAAUAAAUUUCUGAAUUGAUUAGCUACCACUAAACCGGAAAUCACAAUAUAAAAAUAAUUACUAGGUUCGGGGUGUAUCACGUGUUUUCUUAAUUACUUCUUUUGAUUUCUCUUGCUUGUAAGUGUUAUCCUGAAUUUAUUUUUAAUACAUGAACUCCUGGUUUUACCUUAUGUGUUGUUGGGUUGAAUCCGUUGAUGGUGAUUUACUCAUACUAGCUUUUAAAGCUUACCGGGUUUGUUAUUUUACAACCUGGUGCACCAAUCCAUGGUGUAGAGGUUGAUUUUCCAGAUCAGGAUUAGCAGAGUUGAGGUUGCGGCAGUUAGACAUUGUUUCUUUUGUUUAUUUUCUAGAUUGCUGUGAGUAUUGAGGGAGGUUUUACUUUAUUCAAAUUAUUUUUACAAGUUGUAAAACUAAAAUGUUGUAUUGUUUGUUUUUCUUUUUGGUUAUCAGGCCUUGAUUUUGGAAAUUUUUUUUUAUCUAAAAUUCGGGGUGUGACACUUCCAACUGAACCUAAACACCUUGCCAGACGCGCUACCACGCGCCACCAUAGGCGGCGGCGAGUGGGCCCCACGCACCACCCUACCAACCNNNNNNNNNNNNNNNNNNNNNNNNNNNNNNNNNNNNNNNNNNNNNNNNNNNNNNNNNNNNNNNNNNNNNNNNNNNNNNNNNNNNNNNNNNNNNNNNNNNNNNNNNNNNNNNNNNNNNNNNNNNNNNNNNNNNNNNNNNNNNNNNNNNNNNNNNNNNNNNNNNNNNNNNNNNNNNNNNNNNNNNNNNNNNNNNNNNNNNNNNACCACCCUACCAACCUUCGAAUGAGGGCAAACUCACAACAGCAAACUUGAAGAACACAACAACUGGAACACUUUUCAUACCUGUGGUCAAAGCCAAAUCGGCUGGAAAGAGACCGGAAACGUUGCCAGAAAAAUGGAAUCCACCACCGCAACUCUACACCGUGAGUCGAGCUUCAAGACCACCAUAAGUCGAACCAGGGCGCCAAGGGGCUUCUAUCCCGAUCGUUUACAUGAGGUCUGAGUUUAGAUUACACUUUGAGUAUUGAAACAAGGAACUACGUCGAGAAUUACAGAGGAGAAGGCAGGAGAAAUCCUAAAACUAGGGUUUGUGUUUGGAGAAGAAUUUCUGAAGGAGAUGAAAGACGUUGUUUUUCUGCGGCCAAGAGCGACCCUUUCACGUCCCCAACUCCUCAUACAUAUAGAGAACAUAUGAACAGCUGCUAUUAGGGUUAGAGAACCUUUAAUUUUCGUCCAUGGGCUCGCCGUUGUGGUCUGGGCCUUGAAAUUGAAGUUCCGGUCCAAAUCAGGAAUUCGGGCAGACUGACCUUUGGUCACUCAAACGGUCAUAACUUGGUCACCAAAAUAGCUAUUGACGAUCUGCGAAAAUUUCUGAAAACUAGACUCUUCUAGCUUUCUGCUGAUAUAAAGUUCAUCUCCUGGAUCGUUGUGAGCUGAUCACAAUUCUCUGUCGAAGUUGACUGACUAUUCCUGGCAGAUUUUAGAUUUCUUUCCUUGCGCCAUAUGGAUUCCUUUUCCUUCAAGAUUUCUCCUCUUGUUAAAGGAAUUACAUAACUAAAUAGGGUCGGAAAUACAUUAAGAACGUUGCAUAGAAUGCACCUAUCACAGCACGUCUGGUAGUUUCCUAGCUCUAGGUUUCGGUGUUAGCUAGCUCUUAUUAUUGUGAGCUUGUUGAGUUAUGGAAAUUCUAGGUUGUGAGCAAGGAUUGCAUGUUAGGACAUUAAGUUUAAUCUUAGGCUUGUGUGAGGGUUGAGUUUAGGUUUGGAGGAUUAGACGCAGCUUUAUUGAGUCGUUAAGUAUGACGACCUUGGAAAGUGUCCUCCCUUGGGCUAAGGGUUAGUUAAGGGUGUUUUGUUAUCCUAAAGUACUUGGUUACUAAGGUUAUUAAUUAUGUAAUUUUAGGUGAUUGGUGAAGUGUGAUUGGCUUGCCUUGGCUCUUUCGUUUGUGGAAGACGCAGCUGGAUUUAUUUAGGUGAGUAAAAUCUAACCAAGGUUCACUUUGGAACCAUUUAUUUAUGGUUACUAUGGUGAAAAUUAUUAUGAUUAUGAUGAUGAUUAUUGUGAUAUUGAUGAUGAUGAUUGUGAUGAUGAUAAUGAUUAUGAUGAUAAAAUAAUAAUGAUUAUGUUGAUGAUUAUAAUUUAAAAAUUAUGUUUUUUAAUUGUUUUAAAAUAUAUGAGCUUGAUCGCUAACGGCUCAUAGGUAAGAUAAAACAAGUUUUCCUUUUAUAUGAUUAUUUUUAAUGUUCAUGUGAUCAUAAUAUUGUUGGUUCUUAAUAGAUUAUUCUUGUGAGAACAUCUAUGUUCGUUCAUAUAAAUAUAUCUAUGUGGAAGGAUAUAAUUUUUAUGAUAUGCUCUUUGAGUUAUUGAUGAGAUAUCUAUGUGGAAUGAUAUAAUUUUUAUAAUGUGCUCUUUGAGUUGUUGAUGAUGUUGAAUUAAAGAAUAUGCUAUUGUUUGUUUUUAAAUAUAUGAGCUUGAUCGCCAACGGCUCAUAGGUAAGAUAAAACAAGUUUUCCUAUUAUAUUAUUAUAUUGUGAUCCGUUGUUUAGAUAAUCAAAUUGGGUUUCUGUCACAUCCCGACCCUUAUAUUUUUACCUUAUUUACUAGCGUGAUGAUAAUAAGAAUUUUACCGUCUUGAUCAUGAGUAAAUAGUUUAAUUGGUCCCUAGAGGGGUUUCGGGGACGAUUAUGUGCGGAGGAUUAUUCGUAUGAGGAAAAUACGACGACGGUAAAAAAUGGUAAUUUUAGCUAGUAAAAGGUAAUUUUUAUUCGGGUAUUAUUUUUCGGGGUGUUUUUAUUUUGGAAGUUUGGGUUAAAAGGGGUGUUGGGUCGGCUGGGCCGAGCCCAACCCAUUUCUUUCUUCUUUCUCUUCUCCCUCUCUCCCGAUUCUCUCUCCUCCCACCCGAUUUUCUUCUCACUACACCCAGCAGAAUUCCGGCCGUCCUCCCGCCGCCGUCCGACCUCCGUUCGCCGCCGGACCGGUCCCGUUCGGUCGGUCUCCCUCCCGCAACAUUCUAGACCGGUGACAGCCCCCUNNNNNNNNNNNNNNNNNNNNNNNNNNNNNNNNNNNNNNNNNNNNNNNNNNNNNNNNNNNNNNNNNNNNNNNNNNNNNNNNNNNNNNNNNNNNNNNNNNNNNNNNNNNNNNNNNNNNNNNNNNNNNNNNNNNNNNNNNNNNNNNNNNNNGGCCACCAAUCCGGGCAAGCUUGGUACGGUUUUGUAGCCCUCCUCCCGUGCAACAACCCCUCCAAGCAGCUCCCUCCCUCUUGAGCUAGGUAAGGAGAAAUGUGGAGUUGAAAUUUCUAGGCUUUUAAGUUAUUUUCGUUCGAUUAGCCUAGUUAGGCUUGGAAUUGGGUGAUGUGUUGGUCAUGAAAGUUGUAGAGGAGAUUGAGAGGAAGAUUCUGUUAAAAUUUGGUAGCAUUUGCAGGUCGCCGGAGUUGGUCGCCGGCCGCCGCUGCCGGCGGAGCCGCUGCUGUUUUGGGAAAUUUUGUGGUUUUUGAUGUAGAAUAUUAAGAGGAUAUUUUUGAGGUGAUUUGUGGAAUUUUUGGUAUGAGAUUUGGAUAGGUUUGUGAAUUUCCGAAGUGUGGUAUUUUUGGCGGGUAAUUAAUGUAGAAUCCGGCCGUUGGAUUUAAGUCGUAUUUUGGGGAGGUUGUAAUUUUACGACUAUUGAGUAUGAUAUUUAAGUUCGGAUCGUCCGAUGUAAGAAUAUCGAAGUUAGGCAAUAAUGAGCGUAAUUAUGGCUCUCGGGUAAUUUGCCUAUUUUGAUUAAAUAUUGGAUUAUUGGUUGGGAAAUUAAUAUUUUAUUUGGAACAGGACGUGAGGAGGCUCGAGCAGACGAGACCCCAGAUCGACAGCAGGCUUAGACCUAAUUUGUGAGUGGACUUUUGUUUUAAAUAAAUGCAUGCUAAGUUCACGAUUGAAUAAUUAAUGUCGUGGAGUAUUUUGCCGUCAAUUAAUUUUGACGCUUUUAUUUCUCUGAGAGAGAGUUACCGAAAAUGGGAUUUUCGGUGAAUAUAAAUAUGUAUUUAUGAGAGAGUAUAUAUAGAAAAAGCUAGCUAGCCAUAUGUGUCUGUCCACCUUAAUGGCGUAGCAUAUAGCCGCAUUAUGGUGUGACGUGAGCGUUGGACGUAAGCGUAGUAGCCCUAUUUGAGUGUUUAAUUCAUAUAGGGGGUAUGGACAUAUAUUUAUACACCCGUCUGUCCACCUUGAUGGCGUAGUGUAGCACCGCAUUAAGGCGUGACGUGAGCGUUGGACGCGAGCGUAGUAGCCCUAUAUAGACCCAUGAAUUUAUAUAGGGAGUAUGGACGAGUGUAAAUACAUACAUAUAUUAUAGAGUCUGAGAGGCUCGAUAUUUUAUGAGAUAAAAGUUUAUCGCUUGCGGCAUGCAUUCGAUUUUUCCUUAGAAAUUAAUUUGGGGAAACAUAAAUAUUUUAUUUAUUAUUUUAUUUUUUGUCCACUCACUCUGACGUUAUUAAAUGUUUUCCCCUGGGCCCUUCGUUUUAAAUUGCCCAGUCUGCAGAGUUCUGGUUGGAUCUAGUAGGAGACGAGGCAUAGUCACCCGCAUUUCUGCCAGUUUUCGCCAGUAGGUUACCUGUUCAACCUACUCGUGUUUUCUUGCUUCCGCUUGUGUUUAGUAGCUCUGAAUACUUUAGAAUUUUUGUAUAUUAUGGGAUGUUCAGAAGUGUUAAAUUAAGAGUGUAAUAUGAAAUUUUUCGAGUUAGGGUUGUCCAUCUGCAAGGGAGAUUUUCUUAAUCUUUUCAGUAAAUUUUCCUUGGAGGUGGUCCCCGCACGACUUACUCUGGAUUUCAGGGUGAAAUUCGGGGUGGGUCGUGUCAGUUUCAACCCUUUAAUCGGGUGAUUGGUUACGGUUAUGAUGAUUCUACUCUAUGGUGAUUUGUUGUGUAAAUAGUCAAACCGGGUUCUAAGCCUUUAAUCGGGUGAUUAGUUACGGUUAUGAUGCUAUUAUUAUUUUGUGAUAUGAUAUUGGACAGUCAAACCGGGUUCCAAGCCUUUAAUCGGAUGAUUGGUUACGGUUAAUUUGCUAUUAUUAUUUUGUGAUGUGAUAUUAGACAGUCAAACUGGGUUCCAAGCCUUUGGCCAGGUGAUUGAUUACGGUUAGGAAUAGAGCUCUAGUCUGUCUGUCACUGUAGGUCAUGGGAGGUACCUUAAGGUAUCUGGGACCCAUAGGUACAUAAAUUGUUGUUGUAGGUCAUGGGAGAUACCUUAUUGGUAUCUAGGAUUCAUGCGUACAUGUAUAUUUGUAAACGUAUUGGUUAUGUGGCUUUAAUAUUUUUCUUAAUUGUUGUCAUUUAAAUUUAUUGUUUUGAGUAUCUCCUGAACUAUGCUUAAUGCAGGAGAUUCUUUAAUCUUAUUUGUAUGAUUUUUAGUGGAAUUCCUUAAUUAUCCUUUUUGCAGGUUUCACUUAUGAUUUUGAUUGUUUGUGAAUUGUUGUGUUUCUUAUUUACUCUCUUUUGAAUUUUAUUGUUUUGAGGCGAUUCCUGAACUAAGUUCUAAAGCAGAAAUUACCGGUCUUAUCUUAUGUGAUGUAGGGUUGCGUUAUUUUUUAGAGUUAUUUAUACAGGCUUUUUAGCUUAUACGGUUUGUUGUUUACAACCCGGUGCACCAAUUCUUUGUGUAAGGGUUAGACUUGCAGGUGAUGAUCAGCAGAGUUGAGGCGGAGGCUUAGUGGCAAAGUAUUUUAGUUGCUGUACACAUGAUAUUAUUAGAUUUGGUAGACAGCAUUAAAUUCAUUUGAGUGUUUUCAUUUCUUGACUUUCAAGUUUAUGUAAAUAAAGAAAUGUAAUAUUUAACUUGAUGUUGAGUUGUGUUGACAUUACAUUUCUGCAAUUGAGUUUAGUCUUCUUUAAAUUGUUGAACAGGUCUUAGGGAAUAUAUUAGUGUGAGUUAUAUCAUGCCCAAAUUUUUUAAAUUUAUCUUUCGAAAAUUGGGGUGUGACAGUUUGGUAUCAGAGCGUAGGUUUGCAGAUUUGGUGAUAAUUAGUACUUGGGAGUGAUGGCCCGACUACAGCGGAUCACCAUCAUACUCUUUGGUACUAUAUGUCAUUGGGUAUGCGGGAGGCAAGGAUGUUGUUUUGAGCGUUAGGUUUCCAGAGCAUAGGUUUGCUCUGUAAGUAAGGAGUGUGAGUGUUGGGUAGCAUUUCUUGAGGAAUAAGAAUCACUAGAUUGACUUCUUUUCAGCUGCCCUCUGCAAAGCUGGAGGAUUGGUGAUUGGUGAGCAAAGUUUAGGAGUGAAAGGUACUUUGUUCUCUCUUCUUCUUCAUGAGAGUGAGCUGUGAUUUUUGGUGUCUUUUUCUGUGAUGUUAUUGUGGUGUUGGGUUUUGAUUAAGUUAUGCAGUUAAGGUCGUGUGUUGCAGUUAAGGCCUUGUGUUUGACUUCUGUUGUAGAUGUGAUGUCAGUGUAGUUUGUGGCUCAUACAUCAUUUUUUAUUGUGGUGGUAGAGAUUCUCUACCAUGUGAUUUGUGUGUUUGACUUCUGUGUGAGCAUUGUUAUGCACCGUAUUAUGCAUCGUAGGAUGUUUGAUACAUCUUUGUUAUGGCGGUGGAAAUUUUAUGUCAUUUUUUUUAAUUGCAUAAUCUCAUGUUAUUUAUAUACAUACAUAUAUAUAUAUAUAUACACAUUUAUUAUGUGAAUCGGUUGAAAUUUGGCUUGAGUGGAAUUGUGUUAUGAAAUGGCAGAGCAGUUAUUGAGUAGUGAUGCGUGUCAUUCCUGUAUGAAUGAGUUUUUGUGUGGAUUUGAUGACUUCGUGAUUUAUGGACUUAGAAUGUAGCAGUGUUGAUUUCUGUUGUGUGGCAAGUUCUUUUGAAAGCUUGUAGUGUCAUAAUGAGUUGACAACGAUGCAAUGCAGAUGUUGUUUUGGUUUGAGUUCACAUUCUUGUGUAGUUUGUGUGUUUUGUUAUGGUUAGCAACGUAGUGGUAGUGAAAUAUGUAGGGACGGGUUUUGUGAACCAUUCAGUUACCACCAAGUGAGGUGGUAGGGUGAGUUCAUGUCGGGCUUCAGGUGACCAAGACAACAAAAGCGGUGUGGUUACGUUCGUUGUUGAUGAUUGACUUGAUUUUCUCGAUGAAAGAAUUCUAUUUUAGGAAUGGGGGGAAAGAACAACCCCCUCUGCCUAUUAUCAAGGUAGUGAACCCGACUCAUCUAGUGAGGUUAAUUUGGGGAGAUUACAAGGCUUAGGGUGGUGAUCUGGUUCGCAUCCUUGGUAACCCUUGUUUCUGUAUAGAUAGCCAUGUGGUGGUAGUGACAUUAUGUAGGGAAGUGUGUCAUAAGUCGAUCAAUUACCACUAGGUGUGGUGUGGUUUAAUGGGUUUAAAUUUCAGGGACGAAAUUUCUUUAAGACGGGUAGAAUGUAAUACCCCGAAAUUUUGAUAUUAGUUUCUAAUAUUAUUUGGGAAUUUUCAAGUUAGAAGCUAGUGUGUUUUAAGGUUCGAAGGAAGAGCGGAGGUGUUCGAGAGAUUUCUUGUUGAAAAUGCUUUAUUUUGAAGGGUCAAAAGUUGACUUUUUAUCCGUAAGUUAUUUUCAAAAAUUUCCUUCAUGAAAGUUGUAGAGUUUGGUGAUACGAGUUCGUAGACAUGCGGCACGCAUAAAACGGAUGUCGUAUGAGAAAGUUACGGUAAGAGGAAGUUAGGGUCCGUUGUGGAAGAGUAUAAAUAGAAAAAAAAUUAGUGGGUUUUAUUUUUAGUAAACCCCAACCUCUCUCUCUCUCUCUCCUCUCUCCCCGAG